UACGAAGGGGGCUAGCGUUGUUCGGAAUCACUGGGCGUAAAGCGCACGUAGGCGGACUUUUAAGUCAGGGGUGAAAUCCCAGGGCUCAACCCUGGAACUGCCCUUGAUACUGAGAGUCUCGAGUUCGAGAGAGGUGAGUGGAACUCCGAGUGUAGAGGUGAAAUUCGUAGAUAUUCGGAAGAACACCAGUGGCGAAGGCGGCUCACUGGCUCGAUACUGACGCUGAGGUGCGAAAGCGUGGGGAGCAAACAGG
Molecule: ribosomal RNA, 253 nt
Filed under: uncultured bacterium
Lineage: Bacteria
Description: partial 16S ribosomal RNA
Rfam family: Bacterial small subunit ribosomal RNA
Source: RNAcentral